ACUCUACGGGAGGCAGCAGUGAGGAAUAUUGGUCAAUGGGCGCGAGCCUGAACCAGCCAAGUAGCGUGAAGGAUGACUGCCUAUGGGUUGUAAACUUCUUUUAUACGGGAAUAAGUCACUUACGUGUAAGUGUUUGUAUGUACUUAUGAAUAAGCAUCGGCUAACUCCGUGCCAGCAGCCGCGGUAAUACGGAGGAUGCGAGCGUUAUCCGGAUUUAUUGGGUUUAAAGGGAGCGUAGAUGGGCUUUUAAGUCAGUUGUGAAAUUCUGCGGCUCAACCGUAGGACUGCAGUUGAAACUGGGAGCCUUGAGUGCAGUUGAGGUGCAUGGAAUUCG
Molecule: ribosomal RNA, 334 nt
Filed under: uncultured bacterium
Lineage: Bacteria
Description: bacterial SSU rRNA
Rfam family: Bacterial small subunit ribosomal RNA
Source: RNAcentral